Non-coding RNA from Sus scrofa (pig), 1043 nucleotides. The record is from RefSeq and is a predicted model, not a curated record. Lineage: Eukaryota; Metazoa; Chordata; Mammalia; Artiodactyla; Suidae.
CCUUUCCGCGCUGCUCAGACCGGGGUCCAUAGGGCGUUGUUCUUGAUUCCCGUCGUAACUUAAAGGGAAACUUUCACAAUGUCCAGAGCCCUCGAUGUCUUGCAAAUGAAAGAGGAGGAUGUCCUCAAGUUCCUUGCAGCAGGAACCCACCUUGGUGGCACCAACCUUGACUUCCAAAGGGAACAGUACAUCUACAAAAGGAAAAGUGAUGGCAUCUAUGUCAUAAAUCUGCAGAGAACCUGGGAGAAGCUUCUGUUGGUGGCUCGUGCCGUUGUUGCCAUUGAAAACCCAGCUGAUGUCAGUGUCAUAUCCUCCAGGAACACUGGCCAGCGAGCUGUGCUUUGCUGCUGCUACUGGAGCCACUCCUAUUGCUGGCCUCUUCACUCCUGGAACCUUCACUAACCAGAUCCAGGCAGCCUUCCGGGAGCCGAGACUUCUGGUUGUUACUGAUCCCAGGGCUGACCACCAGCCUCUCACAGAGGCCUCUUACGUUAACCUGCCUGCCAUUGCUCUGUGUAACACAGACUCACCUCUGCGUUAUGUGGACAUUGCCAUCCCGUGCAACAAAAAGGGAGCUCUCUCAGUGGGUCUGAUGUGGUGGAUGCUCACCCAGGAAGUUCUGCGCAUGCGUGGCAUCACCUCCUGUGAACACCCAUGGGAAGUCAUGCCUGACCUCUCCUUCUACAGAGAUCCUGAAGAGAUUGAAAAGGAAGAGCAGGCUUCAGCUGAGAAGGCUGUGACCAAGGAGGAAUUUCAGGGUGAAUGGACUGCGCCAGCUCCUGAUCACUGCCACUCAACCUGAGGUGGCAAAUUGGUCCGAAGGUGUGCAGGUGCCUUCUGUGCCCAUCCAGCAAUUCCCUGCUGAAGAUUGGAGUGCUCAGCCUACCACUGAAGAUUGGUCUGCAGUUCCCACUGUGCAGGCCACUGAAUGGGUAGGAACAGCCACUGAGUUGUCUUAAGUUCUUCCAUGAACUCUUAAGUUUCUAAAAAUAGAAGUGGGUUGAAUAUAAAAUAAACAGUUUCUAAAUUGAAAAAAAAAAAAA